GCCUUUAGGUUCGGAAUAACUCAGGGAAACUUGUGCUAAUACCGAAUGUGCCCUUCGGGGGAAAGAUUUAUCGCCUUUAGAGCGGCCCGCGUCUGAUUAGCUAGUUGGUGAGGUAAAGGCUCACCAAGGCGACGAUCAGUAGCUGGUCUGAGAGGAUGAUCAGCCACAUUGGGACUGAGACACGGCCCAAACUCCUACGGGAGGCAGCAGUGGGGAAUCUUGCGCAAUGGGCGAAAGCCUGACGCAGCCAUGCCGCGUGAAUGAUGAAGGUCUUAGGAUUGUAAAAUUCUUUCACCGGGGACGAUAAUGACGGUACCCGGAGAAGAAGCCCCGGCUAACUUCGUGCCAGCAGCCGCGGUAAUACGAAGGGGGCUAGCGUUGCUCGGAAUUACUGGGCGUAAAGGGAGCGUAGGCGGACAUUUAAGUCAGGGGUGAAAUCCCGGGGCUCAACCUCGGAAUUGCCUUUGAUACUGGGUGUCUUGAGUAUGAGAGAGGUGUGUGGAACUCCGAGUGUAGAGGUGAAAUUCGUAGAUAUUCGGAAGAACACCAGUGGCGAAGGCGACACACUGGCUCAUUACUGACGCUGAGGCUCGAAAGCGUGGGAGCAAACAGGAUUAGAUACCCUGGUAGUCCACGCCGUAAACGAUGAUUGCUAGUUGUCGGGAUGCAUGCAUUUCGGUGACGCAGCUAACGCAUUAAGCAAUCCGCCUGGGGAGUACGGUCGCAAGAUUAAAACUCAAAGGAAUUGACGGGGGCCCGCACAAGCGGUGGAGCAUGUGGUUUAAUUCGAAGCAACGCGC
This 800-nucleotide ribosomal RNA is filed under the name bacterium. RNAcentral's name for it is "bacterial SSU rRNA". It matches the Rfam family "Bacterial small subunit ribosomal RNA", at positions 128 to 964 of the family's 1533-position model. The record is from RNAcentral.